RNAcentral lists this long non-coding RNA (1998 nucleotides) under Androctonus crassicauda. Lineage: Eukaryota; Metazoa; Arthropoda; Arachnida; Scorpiones; Buthidae. The record is from RNAcentral.
GUGAGUUACAGAUUGAAACAAAUAAACAGUAAGAUUGAAUAAACAGUUUAUUUUAUUUAUUUUGCUCAUAGUUAACUUUUACUGACAAUUCUUUCCCUCUACUAUCCAGGGGAAUUUAUAUAUGGAUGACCUUCAAAUUCAUUCCAGCUUUACCAGUAUAGCAGUUUAUUGAACAGUUGUUCCAGAUUUCCUUGAACCAGAUAUUAAAAUAAGCUAUGACCUUAUCUGAACAAAAAACUGUACAUGCACUUUUGCUUCCAUCAUGGCUUACAUCUACACUCAGAAUUGUAUCUAAGAUUGGGGCAGUUGUUAGAUACAAUUCUGAGUCACUUUCUUCUGAAAUAACAUUACUUUCUUCUGAUGUAACAUUACUUGAAUUUCAAUAAUAAAUUCAUUUUUCACUUUCAUUGUUAUAUUAGAUUGCAUUGCACAUAUGAUCUGAAUCUAUUAAAAAUGCUCAGCCAAACAUCAUGAAGUGUAGAUUGAAGUAGCUUUCUCUAUAUGCACAAUGCACAAUGGUAUACUUCAAACUGCAUUAUGGCACUAUAAUUUAUAGCUCACUUUGUCAUCAGUCCUCCAGAUGCUUGAUGCUACCAAGAGGAUUAGGCUUUCAACAGAUGCCUUCUGUACAUUACUUAUCCAGAACCUUUAUGCAGACACUCAAGUCAUUACAAUAAUUUGUCCGCCUCAAAGCACAGACUGCACUUUCAUUAUGGAACAAUACUUUUUAUCCAUCUUACUGAACUUUACUUGCUGUCAUACAAUCCUAUACUCUGAUGUUUGGGAUAUACAUGCAAAAUGUUGAUGUCAGUAUCUCUCUUCUUCUUGAUUACAUUGCUAUCACUCCAUGUAACUUUUUUGCACCAUGGAAAUGGUCUCUAGCCAGUGUAAACUUAGAACUUACAAAGUAUUUUAAGGACCUGACCUUAUUAUUAAUCUAUUCUUCAUUAUUUAAUGCACAUUGUCAAUUUUUCAUCAGUUUAUUCACACACAACACACACAGUUCUAUAAGGAAUGGAUGUAUUAACUCUAUAUGUAUUUGUAUCAUUUAUGUUACGAAGAACUGUCCAUCCAGAUGAUGAUCUUCAUAUCCUUGGAAUCCAUUUCUUUUCUAGAACUUGAUGUACCCUCCAUUGCCAAAACAAACAUUAAUUAUCAUUCUCUUAUUGCUAAGAAGAUGCGCAUAACCCAUCAACAUAAAAGUCAAUUCUUUUAAUUAAAGUGAAUGUUAAAAUUCUUUAUUAGCAAUUUAACUGAUUAAAGAAAAAAUAGUUAUGGACAAAAUUGAAAAAUUAGUUAUAAACAAAUCUAAUAUUCAACUACAUCUAUAAAUGCUCUACAAACAUCACCAAAGUUAUUCAAUUGGUAAAACGUUUUCGGACCUUCUUCCGGUCCCUCUUCAGUACAGCUUUUCUUAAGAACAAAUUAAUUUAAAACAAUCGAACAAUAGAACAUCUAAUAAUAAUCUGUUACAAAAACUUUAAGAAUACAAAAUUUAAAUUAAACUAUAGAACAAAGUUAGUUCUAUAUCAUUAACAUAAAAAGAUUAAAACUGUUUAAUAAGCAAUUAAAUACAGAAGUCAGUAUAAUACAUUAAGUAGCUCAGUAUACAUACAUAUAAAAAUCAAACACAAAGAGAGUAAUAAUAAAAUAUAGAGGGGAAAAAACCAAAAACCUAGUUCUAUAAAACAUAUACAUCUAAACUAACUUAGAGCUAGUAAGGCUUUUGCUUAGGGGUCAAAAAGAUUAACUCAAGACAUCAUAAAAAGUUCCUUAGGGUAACAGGAUUAGCCAGGUCUUGGUAGAGAACAACGUAAAGCUAUCAUGAAUCUAUUUUAAACGUCUCUACAUGUUAGACAUACAUAAACACCCCAUAGGGUAACUCACUAUCACAACCAUUCUGUCACACACCACUUCCAGGAGGAGGGAAGCACCACAGGGCUUUCAUCAUUAAUGGUGUCCUUAAGGUGUGCCAUUCUUUCUAAAUCAAUAGCUUCC